Molecule: transfer RNA, 80 nt
Filed under: Acrocarpospora pleiomorpha
Lineage: Bacteria; Bacillati; Actinomycetota; Actinomycetes; Streptosporangiales; Streptosporangiaceae
Also listed under: 1 other name
Description: tRNA-Tyr
Rfam family: tRNA
About the family: Transfer RNA (tRNA) molecules are approximately 80 nucleotides in length. Their secondary structure includes four short double-helical elements and three loops (D, anti-codon, and T loops).
Source: RNAcentral
GCAGGAGCUGAGCACUGGUGAGCUCAUUCGGUUGUAACCCGGACGCAUUGCUGUGGUGGUUCGAAUCCAUCCUCCUGCAC